UGACUUAAGGUGGCUCGGGACUAUUCGACUGCGCAUAAUUUCACGCAUGAAUUACAAAAGUAUUUGUCGUAAAAAAUUUUCAUAUUUUGAUUGAUUAGAAAUAUUAAAUCAUUGUAGUUAUGUGACUAAUAGAAUAUUUUCGUUAUUAUCGGUAUUUUUUAAAGGGUCAAAAUGACAUUUCACCCAUUUUUACCAUUUUCCCGCCAAAAUUUGGGUUGUAAGGCAAAAUAAUUUUUUUUCCUUAUCGGUGACCUAUGUUUUUUAUUGGCUCAUUCUUUGAAGCUGUAUUCAAGCUUUUCAUAUUACAGAUUUGGAACAAUUGUCAUAGAACGUUUUUUUGAUAUUCCGAAAAAAAUAUGUCAACACCUCUAUUUCCCCUAUCAUUUCAUUGAAAAAUGGUCCCUUUUACAUACCUGUUUAAAAGUAAAAUUUUGAGCUUAAAUGGUCCGUGACCCCCUAUUUUUUUUCGACCAAUUUGAUUCAUUUUCUUUAAAGAAUAAAAUAACCAAAAAUACGGCACUUCUGAUAGAAACUUCGAAUACACCCGAGCCACCUUAAUGGUGCUAGUACCGGAUAUAUGUGCAUUGUAUUGUCAAAAACAGCCCAUAUUUAUGUAGCAGAAACAUUCUACUGUCCAAUAAAUAACUAAAGGUUUACAUUUUAACAAUUUUGUAAAAUUGCUAUAUUUUGGGGCCAAAAAGGGGUCUUACUGAACCUACUCCUUUG
RNAcentral lists this long non-coding RNA (726 nucleotides) under Mytilus galloprovincialis (Mediterranean mussel). The record is from RNAcentral. Lineage: Eukaryota; Metazoa; Mollusca; Bivalvia; Mytilida; Mytilidae.